CAGGCUUAACACAUGCAAGUCGAGGGGCAGCAUUUCAGUUUGCUUGCAAACUGGAGAUGGCGACCGGCGCACGGGUGAGUAACACGUAUCCAACCUGCCGAUAACUCGGGGAUAGCCUUUCGAAAGAAAGAUUAAUACCCGAUGGUAUAAUCAGACCGCAUGGUCUUGUUAUUAAAGAAUUUCGGUUAUCGAUGGGGAUGCGUUCCAUUAGGCAGUUGGUGAGGUAACGGCUCACCAAACCUUCGAUGGAUAGGGGUUCUGAGAGGAAGGUCCCCCACAUUGGAACUGAGACACGGUCCAAACUCCUACGGGAGGCAGCAGUGAGGGAUAUUGGUCAAUGGGCGCAGGCCUGAACCAGCCAAGUAGCGUGAAGGAUGACUGCCCUAUGGGUUGUAAACUUCUUUUAUAUGGGAAUAAAGUUUUCCACGUGUGGAAUUUUGUAUGUACCAUAUGAAUAAGGAUCGGCUAACUCCGUGCCAGCAGCCGCGGUAAUACGGAGGAUCCGAGCGUUAUCCGGAUUUAUUGGGUUUAAAGGGAGCGUAGGUGGACAGUUAAGUCAGUUGUGAAAGUUUGCGGCUCAACCGUAAAAUUGCAGUUGAUACUGGCUGUCUUGAGUACAGUAGAGGUGGGCGGAAUUCGUGGUGUAGCGGUGAAAUGCUUAGAUAUCACGAAGAACUCCGAUUGCGAAGGCAGCUCACUGGACUGCAACUGACACUGAUGCUCGAAAGUGUGGGUAUCAAACAGGAUUAGAUACCCUGGUAGUCCACACAGUAAACGAUGAAUACUCGCUGUUUGCGAUAUACAGUAAGCGGCCAAGCGAAAGCAUUAAGUAUUCCACCUGGGGAGUACGCCGGCAACGGUGAAACUCAAAGGAAUUGACGGGGGCCCGCACAAGCGGAGGAACAUGUGGUUUAAUUCGAUGAUACGCGAGGAACCUUACCCGGGCUUAAAUUGCAUUUGAAUAUAUUGGAAACAGUAUAGCCGUAAGGCAAAUGUGAAGGUGCUGCAUGGUUGUCGUCAGCUCGUGCCGUGAGGUGUCGGCUUAAGUGCCAUAACGAGCGCAACCCUUAUCUUUAGUUACUAACAGGUCAUGCUGAGGACUCUAGAGAGACUGCCGUCGUAAGAUGUGAGGAAGGUGGGGAUGACGUCAAAUCAGCACGGCCCUUACGUCCGGGGCUACACACGUGUUACAAUGGGGGGUACAGAAGGCAGCUACCUGGUGACAGGAUGCUAAUCCCAAAAGCCUCUCUCAGUUCGGAUCGAAGUCUGCAACCCGACUUCGUGAAGCUGGAUUCGCUAGUAAUCGCGCAUCAGCCAUGGCGCGGUGAAUACGUUCCCGGGCCUUGUACACACCGCCCGUCAAGCCAUGAAAGCCGGGGGUACCUGAAGUACGUAACCGCAAGGAGCGUCCUAGGGUAAAACUGGUAAUUGGGGCUAAG
Molecule: ribosomal RNA, 1439 nt
Filed under: uncultured organism
Description: 16S ribosomal RNA
Rfam family: Bacterial small subunit ribosomal RNA
Source: RNAcentral